AAGGUGGGGAUGACGUCAAGUCCUCAUGGCCUUUAUGCCCAGGGCUACACACGUACUACAAUGGCAGGUACAAAGGGCAGCCACUUAGCGAUAAGGCGCGAAUCCCGUAAAACCUGUCUCAGUCCGGAUUGGAGUCUGCAACUCGACUCCAUGAAGUUGGAAUCGCUAGUAAUCGCAGAUCAGCACGCUGCGGUGAAUACGUUCCCGGGCCUU
RNAcentral lists this ribosomal RNA (213 nucleotides) under uncultured Desulfocapsa sp. RNAcentral describes it as "partial 16S ribosomal RNA". It matches the Rfam family "Bacterial small subunit ribosomal RNA", at positions 1170 to 1382 of the family's 1533-position model. The record is from RNAcentral. Lineage: Bacteria; Pseudomonadati; Thermodesulfobacteriota; Desulfobulbia; Desulfobulbales; Desulfocapsaceae.